GAUGAAGAACGUAGCGAAAUGCGAUAAGUAAUGUGAAUUGCAGAAUUCAGUGAAUCAUCGAAUCUUUGAACGCACCUUGCGCUCUUUGGUAUUCCGAAGAGCAUGCCUGUUUGAGUGUCAUGAAAAUAUCAACCUUGACUUGGGUUUUGUGCUCUAGUCUCGGCUUGGAAUUGGGUGCUUGCCGCUUUUACGAGCGGCUCACCUUAAAUGUAUUAGCUGGAUCUGUCUUUGAGACUUGGUUUGACUUGGCGUAAUAAGUAUUUCGCUAAGGACAUUCUUCGGAGUGGCCUCGUUUCUAGGACGCUUGUCCGCUUUCCAAUACAAGUUCCACCUCGUGGACAUGACUUUUUAUUAUCUGGCCUCAAAUCAGGUAGGACUACCCGCUGAACUUAAGCAUAUCAAUAAGCGGAG
This 411-nucleotide unclassified non-coding RNA is filed under the name soil metagenome. RNAcentral describes it as "partial contains 5.8S ribosomal RNA, internal transcribed spacer 2, and large subunit ribosomal RNA". The stretch from base 1 to 120 matches the Rfam family "5.8S ribosomal RNA", at positions 35 to 154 of the family's 154-position model. The record is from RNAcentral.